CCUUGUAUCCGUGAAUGGCUUCUCUCUGUACCCCAAAGACAGUUUCCCAGCAAGUUGGCCAGCACAGCGCUUCGGCGAACAUAUCGGAAGAGCCCA
This is a non-coding RNA of Vicugna pacos (alpaca), 96 nucleotides long. The record is from RefSeq and is a predicted model, not a curated record. NCBI's taxonomy places the organism in Eukaryota, Metazoa, Chordata, Mammalia, Artiodactyla, Camelidae.